This 244-nucleotide long non-coding RNA is filed under the name Malus domestica (apple). RNAcentral's name for it is "long non-coding RNA (MDOM_LNC012932)". Lineage: Eukaryota; Viridiplantae; Streptophyta; Magnoliopsida; Rosales; Rosaceae. The record is from RNAcentral.
GGAUGGAUCUCUACAACUUACAUGUCUUGUGAUUCAUAGUUUUAGACAUAUAUUAUCAAGACUAUCUUAAUAAUAGUUUCGAAAAACCCAUAUUAUGUCCAAACAUUGAAUCACCAUUUAGUUGUAGCUAGCAAUCUUCGAAUUAAUUGAAACUAAGACUACGUCAAAAUGGUUUCCUUCAAAGUCAACCAAUUCUCUUUGAUUGUAGUCACCUUAAGCUACCAAUUAGCUUAUGAAGGUUUCA